RNAcentral lists this ribosomal RNA (664 nucleotides) under Miconia subcompressa subsp. beverlyana. Its description in RNAcentral is "eukaryotic LSU rRNA". The stretch from base 277 to 432 matches the Rfam family "5.8S ribosomal RNA". The record is from RNAcentral. Lineage: Eukaryota; Viridiplantae; Streptophyta; Magnoliopsida; Myrtales; Melastomataceae.
GAACCUGCGGAAGGAUCAUUGUCGAAAUCGAACGGAAGAACGACCCGCGAAUCGUCAUUGCGUACUAGACAGAGCCCGUGAGCACCUAACGCUCAUGGGACUCGCGUCGCGUCGGCGUGGGUGUACUCGAGACCAGCGUCGUACCGGCGGACAAACAACGUCAGCACGGAUCGUGCCAAGGAGCUGCAUGGAGAGAAUCGUCGUCCCACGCCUUUGAUAGUCCUCGAUGCGGGACGGGGGGCGGGGGAUGUACGCAAUCUCUACUCAAGUCUAAACGACUCUCGGCAACGGAUAUCUCGGCUCUUGCAUCGAUGAAGAACGUAGCGAAAUGCGAUACUUGGUGUGAAUUGCAGAAUCCCGCGAACCAUCAAUUCUUUGAACGCAAGUUGCGCCCGAAGCCAUUCGGCCGAGGGCACGCCUGCCUGGGUGUCGUGAAUCCCCUUGCCCCUAGGCACCCGCAUGAGCAUUGGCGGGGAUAUAUGCUCGGGCGCAGAAUAUGGUCUCCCGUGGGAUCGGCAUGCACGGCAUGUCGAGGUGCGGUUGGCCGAAAAUCGAGCAAUGGCUGUGACGGGCACCACGGCGUUCGGUGGAUCGAAUGAGAUUGGCUGCGCCGUGGGCUCGGCAUUAGGCGGGCUCCGGACUUUGAGUAUCCCCGAGUGCGACC